This is a long non-coding RNA of Papaver somniferum (opium poppy), 2004 nucleotides long. RefSeq lists it as uncharacterized. The transcript has 11 exons. The record is from RefSeq and is a predicted model, not a curated record. NCBI's taxonomy places the organism in Eukaryota, Viridiplantae, Streptophyta, Magnoliopsida, Ranunculales, Papaveraceae.
UCUGCUGCUAUCAGCUCCCGGUCCCCAUCUCUAACCUAAGAAACUAGCUCCAUGAAAAUGGAGAAAUCAAUAACCCUAGAUGCUAUUUCAACCAAACUAAUAAACCCCUUCUCUUUGUUCUUCUUCUGAAAUCCCUCAACUCACUAUUCGAGUUGUAGAUCUCAAAUCUUCUGGGAAUAGAUUCAAUCCAUGUUUUUUUUUUCAUUUUUAGGGGUUUUAUCAAAAUCUCUAACUAGAUCUAAAAAUAAUAAUCAUCUCAUGAAUGAUUACUACUAAAUCUGUUGGUUUUAGGGUUUUUAGAACUUGAGAAUCUUUAGAUGUUCUUUGAAGAUUUAGAUUGGUUGAAGUCGUCUUCAACCUGCGAAGUAAAAAUCAAUACCCUCACACCAAGAAUCGAUUUCUAUGAUGCCAUGGCAAGAAACUGAAAGUGGAUUUCUGAUAGGAGCUGUUGCUGGAUAAAUUUUAGGAUAUUUUAUAUUUGAUUCAGUCAUAUGUAUUGCUAGCCUUCUAAGUGGAAGACUAGUGAGGGAAAGAGUUGCUUCAGCCAUAUGUAUUUGCCUUACAAAUUAAGGACUCAUAUGUUAGUGUGGUUCUGGAUAUUGGUGUUGCUGAACAUGUUGCUCAACAUUUGCUCUAUAUUUUUCUUAUAAAGAUGCUAGGAGUUGAACAUCCAGGUGCUAAGGGUUUAAGCAGGUUGUUCUGCUUAUAAGUGAUGUGGCUGAAGCUCUCACGAAGAUGAGUGGAACUGGUGGCCACACCUUGGGCUGUUUUCACAAUCAGUUUUCUCAUCCUUUUUACUGUGGACAUUAAAUUUUCUGAUUGAUAUUUCUUAGUGGUGAAUAUAACCAAGAGUCUUGGUGAAUGCAUCACAACGACAUGAUAUUUGUAUUUUGUAAUAUCUUCAGACAUUUUAGGUUUGUAUUUACUACAUGUUGUUCAAACUUCACAGGGAAGGUGCCACAAAGAAUCCUCUGGAUUUGAGGGACCCUGGACAACCAACCCCCUAGUGUUUGAUAACUCUUCCUUCAAGGAGCUUCUAAAUGGGGAGAAGGAAGGCUUAAUCCAACUCCGAACUGAUAAGACACUCUUGGCUGAUCCCUUUCUCCGUCCCUUGUUGAAAAAUAUGCAGAGUGUUUAGGACGAUAAUGCCAUCUUUGCUGACUAAGCUGAUGCUUACCUGAAGCUAUCUAAAUUAGGAUAGCAUCAAGAAGCAUACAAGGAGAGCUGCAAUGAAAACUGCAAACGAGUUCUUAUUACGUGACAGGGUGGAAGGGAGACGGAGAUCCAGGCUAUUCAUCUCUGUCUCUUUCUGUUAGCUUAUCUGCCCUGUAUCAGUAAGGUGCCAAUACUUAACCUUAAGGUUUGGCAUUACAAGGUUUGGUUCUGUCAUCUCACAAGGUUCAGCUUCAUGGCUUUUCCAGAGGAGAAGAUUUGCUUCUGCUGAAGUGGUACUCGUAUCUCUCAUAAUUGUGCAUUAUGAUUUGGGUUACAACCUCAACUAUGACUUGCACUCCUCAAGCAGUUGAUGUACCGAGGAAAGCUAAUGUUCUUAUUGGUCCAACAAAGGCUGCUGGCACUGAAGGGAUAUGAUUAACUAUCCCAUGAUAUAAGUUGUAGCUUGUUUCUAUGUGGUGGAUCCAAACGAUUUAUCAUCUCAUCCGGCAGGGGUCUCUGAUGUUCAAGGUGUUUGUAGUUGAACCUCCUCUGUUCUCAGACCUUGUGGGGUAUUUUUAAUCUUUGGUGCUUGUUGUUCCAUGUUGGAUUUGUAGCUGAACCUCCUCUGUUCAGGUACUGUUUGUGUAUCUGAUGUGCUUAUUAAAAUUUAACUGAGUUGGUGGGUAAACUAAAAAUGGUCGUGCUUCUUUUACUGUUUUUGCAUAUUCACUACACCAAAACCAGGAUUUUGUAACUGUGAAACCUGUCACAGUUUAUUUUUCAGUCACAGAUACACCUGUGAUAAGUCCUGCAACAGUUAUAACUGUUAUUAAAUUUUGUAAUCGUGAU